This 23230-nucleotide long non-coding RNA is filed under the name Phaseolus vulgaris (common bean). Its description in RNAcentral is "long non-coding RNA (PVUL_LNC000026)". Lineage: Eukaryota; Viridiplantae; Streptophyta; Magnoliopsida; Fabales; Fabaceae. The record is from RNAcentral.
AUCCAGGAACUGGAGAUGGUAAGGAAGAUCAUGGGAAGUAUGCAGUGCCACCUCUUUCAAACGACUAGUGAUCAAUACUCUGCUGCCUCUGUUGUUGUCCGGAAAAACAUCUUGCACCUCGUCCCAAUCUUGCCUUUUCCACAGGUCAUCUACCACCACAAGAUAUGUUCUACUCUCCAAGCUGUUUCGCACCAGUUUCUUCAGCUCCUCCUCACUCAAGCUACUAUUGUCUUGAGUGCUUUUCUUUCCUUUCUUCUUGCCUCUGCAUUGUUGUUCAAAAUUUGGCAUCAAAUGCUUAAGAAGGCCAAGCAAAAGCUCCCUAACUCUGCACUCGUUUGACACAUAAACCCACGCUCGACACUCGAAGUGUUGCUUCACCUCGUUGCUGUUAUAGACCUUCCGGGCAAGGGUGGUCUUGCCCAAUCCCCCCAUGCCAAUGAUAGAGACAACUUUACGAUUUGAACCACCUUCCAAGAGUCGUUUGAUGAUAUCCUUGGAGUCAUCGACAAAGCCAACCACAUUUUCUUCCUCUACAUCUCUUCUUAGCUUGUGUAAUGAUUGCGCCCUUUCCUUCUCCUCCUCCUCUUCUGCUGCAGAUUGAUUAUUGAUUUCUUUGAAAGCAUCAUAUUUGUCCUUGUUUUCGCGUAUUUCGUUGAGAGUGGUUUUGAUCUUGUCUAUUUUGUCGGCUACGUGGUGAAGCAACCUUGCUUGGGCAAAGCCACGGAGCAUCCUCCCCAGUAUGGUUCUCCUCUUGUAAAUGGCAACUUUGGCUACGAAAGUGUCGAUGACAUCCUCAGCUAGGUGGGCCACAUCUCUGAUUUGGUUCACCACUGUAUUUUCAAUUCCCUUCUUUCUCUUUGAGGUAUUGAGAAGGUCGUUGAUCAUUUGAAGCUCGUUCUGAAGGGACUGGACUCUGUCCUCCACGCCAUACAGCAAGUUAGCUUCGUGUGCCACAAGCUGGGAUAAGUGAUCCAAAACAAAAGUAACUACACUGUCUGGCAUUACACUGUCUGCCAUUACAGCAUAGACGUGCCUGCAGAUUUUGAUCUGUGCUUAGAUAAUGUGUUUGUGGUUGGUGAUGGAAGAAGAGGAAGAAUGAUUUACUAAGGAAGAAUGAAAAAACAAUGGAAGGAGAACUUGAUUGUAUAGCUUGCAGCCACACACUAAAGAAUAUAUAAUGGAAAGUGGUUGCCAUUGACUUUGCGUCAACCAUGAAUACGGUUGGAAUAUUUAUGAUGAUACAACAUUUAAUUGCAUAAUAACACCUUCCACUCAUUUAAUUGCAUAUUGCUCUGUGGCAUUGCAACAGUCCAAUUUCAAUAUUUUUAUUUAUUUAAUAUUAGUAAAACUUUCUCUUCCAAUAUGAAAUAAAUAUAAAGACAGAUGAGUAGACAUAGCAGGAAGGUGCCAUGUUACUCAGCAAUAUGAAAUUAAAUGUUUCAUAAAUAUUCCAACAACUUUUAAACUACAUUCAAAAUGGAAUUAAAUGUUUCAUAAAUAUUCCAACAAUUUUUAAACUACAUUCAAAAUAGAAUUAAAUGUUUCAUAAAUAUUCCAACAACUUUUAAUGGAAGGUUUGUAACAACGUGUUUUUUUUUAAAAAAAAAACACCAACAUGAACCUUAUCCCCCUGCACCACAAUACCUCUUUUAUUUUUUUUCUCUUUCUCUUUCUCUUUCUCUUUCUUUUUCUCUUUCUCUUUCUAAAUCUUUCCCUUCUCUCUUAAUUUUCCCCUCCCAAUCUUCAUCUAUUUUAGAAUUUGAUCGGAUCACGUUGUAGCUGGCGAGUUAAAGACCAUUUCUACCCGAUCAGAUUUUCAAACAGAGUAAGUUCAUUUUUACUCUAAAUAUCCUUUGUUCUCUGUUUUUUCUUAGGAUUUAGUCAUCAAUCUUGGUGGGGUCAGUUGAGAAGUUUAACCCUCUCAACUUAUUCUACUAUAUACUAAAUUUUGUUCUGUUUGGAUAAUUUGCAUUAGGCCCGUAAAUCUUGAAGCUUAUCCAAACGGUGGGGAAUAAAAUUCUAAAAGUUGCUUGAAAAGCAAGCAAUUGAGGUAAGGGAAGCUAAAUUUAAUUUUUUAUAGCACCCUAGGAUAGAAGAUCUGAAUGCGGAAGGGACGUGGUCCCAAUAUUGAUUUUCUCGUGCAGGGGUGUUAUUUGUUUAUAUAUUAUUUAAACUUUAUAAAUAUUAUAUUUUGAUAGCUUGAGAGUUAAAUAUUGUUUUUGACGUUGAAAAAGUUCUGGAAUGAUAUGAAUUUUUAAAUGUUAUGUGAUUGAAUGAUAUGUAUUAUAUGCGGAUGAUGUAAAUUGUAUGAAAGUGAUGUCAUACAUUUGGGAUAAUGUAUGAGUUGUUGUUUGAUGGUACGUUAAGUAUGAAAAGCCUAUGUUUAACGGAGAUCCUCUGGCUUCACUAAUGAUCUAAGUCAUGUAGACUAAGAUAUUAGGUGGUGAGAAGCUGAGAGGGAGUUCAUACACACCGGGUCCCACUGUAGACACUCGGUAUUGGAUGUUUGAACUUACCCUGAUCCUUUCUAUUAGAUUCGCUGGUAAUCUUUGGGUCAGGUGUUAGUCUCUGGUAGGGACAUACUUAAUGAGUCUUCCGGAAGAUGAAGUGGGAUUGAAAUGAAAUCCAAUGAUUGUGAUUGAAAAUAGAUCCAUGUGUGGUCUAUAUGAAUGAUGAAAUUGAUAUUGAAAUUUUACAUGACAACAUUUAAAGUAAUGUUUAUAAAUGAUUUGUUUGGUUGGUUCUUUUUGUAAGAAUUAGAUAUGAUAUGCAAUUUCUUUUCACUAGCUUACCCUUGCUUUUCUUGCUGUGUUUAAACUGCGAUGACUGUACUAUGUACACGAGCAGAUGAUCUUACAGGUAUCUGAGGAUCAAAAGAGUUUUAAGGCGUUGAUUUUGAAACUUAUAUUGUAAAUAUUUGUAUUUCUAUAUGUCCUAAUCAUGUAUUAAGAAUGUUUUGAAAAACUUUAUGCUUGUAUAGAAAUAAGUAGAAUCUGUAUUGUAAUAGUUAGAUGUAUUUUUCCGGGGUGUUACAAGGUUGGUUGAACCGUAUUCAUGGUUGACGCAAACUCAGUGCAAAAAUAAAACCAGAUAUUUUACCAAAAAUAUCUUAAUUUAAACUAAAAAUUAUUUCCCUUGAUCUUCUUCUCCUCUUGCAUUCAUUUAUUUACAUAUCUAAAACCAUAUAAUACUAGUUCGUUCAUUAUCAUUUUCUCAUUUAUAAUUUUAUAUCUAAACAAUUCAAAAAUAUGAUAUUUGUUAAGAGACUAUUUUAAAUAUAAAAUUUUAUCCACUAAUUUAGUAAAACAAUUAUGUAUAACUUUCCAUAAAAAUUUUAAAAAUAUAAAAAUUAUUUAUAUGUAUAAUUGUCAUUCUAUAAAAAAAAAUUCCAUUUAUAUACUCAUUCCAACUUUUUCUCAAUUUCAACUCUUAUAAAAGUAGAACUUUAUCUUCCAAUUUAAAUCUUUUUUUUAUUUACAUAUAAGUAUUUGUAUUGCAUUCUUUUUCUGAAUUAUGAUUUUUUACAACAAUUUUUAGAUUAUUAUUUUUAUUAUUAUAUAUGAUUGUUCGAUAAAUAAAAUAAAGCUUUUUUGAAAAAAAAUUAGGAUGUAUACAUAUAGUGUUAAAUCAACACCUUGCUUCUCUUAAGUUUUUUUAAUUUUUAAACCUUUUUUUUUAAAUAUGCAACACUCAAAUAUGACUCAAAUAUGACUUAAGAGAGAGUUUGUGUAGUAAAUAAUUAUUUAUAUGAGGUUAAAAUUACAGAAAAGCUUCAUUCACAAAACAAAUCUAAACUGAGGUUUAAAACCGAAUUUUGAACGGAGUUUUAUAUUUUUAUUUAAAAAUAUUAAAAAAUAGUUUUAAAUUUUCAAAAUAAAAAAUAUCAUCUUAAAAAAGAAAUAUUUUAAAUAAAAUUAUGAAAAAAUAUAUGUUUUAAAAAUAAAAAUUUAGAAAGAUAAUUAUAUUGAAGAAUAAUAUUUUAAUUAAAAAAAUAAAUUUUUACCUCUUUAAAUAGUGAUAUAUACUUUCUCGAACAAUAUUUUCAUAUUUUCUUGAUAGUAGUGAAUACUUCCAAUUUGAUAUAAGACAUAGUAAAAUAGCGUGGUUUUGAAUUUUAAGACUUUUUUUAUAAGAAAAACCCGAUCGAAACAUUUUUUUUUUCAAAAAUAAAAAUGAAAAAAUUAGUUUUAAAAAUAGGAAAAAGGAAAGGUUAAGAAAAUAUAUAAUUUAUAUUUUAUUAUGUUUAAACAAAAUAACUUGUAAAAAGAUAAGGAAAUUGGGAGAAAUGAUAUCCAAAUAUAUAUUAUGAAAGUUUUUGCAAUAAAUAAUUUAAAAAGACUUGGGGUCAACAGUUAUUGUUUUAUAUUUUUCCUUUUAUUUUGAGUCAACCAUGAAUAAUCUUCAACUCAACCUUCCACUCAUCACUUAUUUAACUGCACCUUCCUGCUAUGUGCCAAAUUGCCAGAGAAUAUAUAUUAUUUUCUAUUUAGAAAUUUAUAAAUUUCAUUUAUUUUAAAUUUUUAUUUAUAUAUUACAUUAAAUAAGUCACCGUAUUUAUUUAUUUAGGAUUUUGAAUAAUUUUGAAAUUCAACUUACUUUGAAUUUUUAAGUAGAAAAUUAAAUAAUUUAGAUUUUAUAUUUAUUUAAGAUUUUAAGAUUUUAUUUCUUUGAAAUUACUAGUAGAAAAUAAAACAAUUUAGAAUUUGUAUUUGUUUAGGAUUGUGGAAAAUUUAGAAAUUUUAUUAAUUUUAGAUUUUUAUCCUAUAAUGAAAUUAAAUAAUUUAGGAUAUGGAUAAAUUUUGAAACUUGAAAAUUUUCAGAAUUUUACUGAUUUUUAAUUUUAUUUAAAAAUGAUAUUAUAAGUAGAAAAUAAAAUAAUUUCAGAGUUUUUAUUUAAUUAGGAUUUUUACCAACUAUAGAAAUUUUAUUUAUUUGAGUUUUAUUUAUUUUUGUAUGACAUAAAAUAAGUUAGGAUUUGUGUUUAUUUAGAAUUUUUUAUAUUUUAGAUUUUUUUUUAUUAUUAUUUAGAAUAAUUUAAAAAAAUUAUUUAUUUCAAAUAUUUUCUUGUAAAUCUUUAUUUAAAUAUGAAAUUUAAUAAUUUAAGAUUUAUAUUUACUUAUAAUUUUAAAUAAUUUAGGUAUUUUAUUUUUUGAAUUUUUUAUUUAAGUAUGAUACUGAAUAAUUUAUUAUUUGUAAUUUUUUAAAAUUUUAAAUAAUUUAGGAAUUUUUAUUGAAAUUUUUUAUUUAAGUAUGAUAUUAAAUAAUUUAAAAUUUGUAUUUAUUUAGGAUUUUGAAUAAUUUAGAAAUUCGAUUUAUUUUAGAUUUUAUUUAAUUAAAAUAUUAAAUUAUUUAGAUUUUGUAUCUAUUUAGGAUUUUGAAAUUUUAAAAAAAUAUUAUUUAUUUAUAUAGGAAAUAAAAUAAUUUAGGAUUUAUAUUUAUUUAGAACUUGAAAAAAUAUAGAAGUUUAAUUAAUUUAGAUUUUUAUAUUAGAAUGUCAUUAAAUAUAAUUUUAGAAUUUUAUUGAUUUUCAAUUUUUAUUUAAGAAUGAUAUUAAAUUUUUUGGGACUUAUAUUUUUUAGGAUUUUAAAAAUUUACAAAAUUUUAUUUACUUUUAAUUUUUAUUUAAGUAGGAAAUAAAAUAGUUUAAGAUUUUGUAUUUAUUUAGGAUUUUAAAAAACUUAAAAAAAAUUAUUUAUUUGAUAUUUUUAUUUAAAAAUAAUAUUAAAUUAUUUAGAAUAUGUAUUUAUUUAAAAUUUUGAAUAAUUUAACAUUUUAAAAUGAUAGAAAUUUUAUUUAUUUUUGAUAUUUUUAUUUAAGUAUGUCAUAAAAUAAGUUAGGCACCGGAGAAAGCAAUGGCUUGUAGCUUGCAACCACACACUAAAUGAUAUCCAAAUAAUUUAAAAAGACUUGGGCUCAAGAAUUGUUGUUUUAUAUUUUUCCAUAUAUAUGUGCCAAAUUGAUAUAUAUAUAUAUAUAUAUAUAUAUCUUACCAAUUUCUUAUCACUCAUAAUAAUAACGUAAUAAAAAUUAGAAUAUGAUAAUCAAAUGACUUUAAUUUAGUGGUUAGAGGUAUCCUGGUUAGUGGUCCUAAGUUUAAGUCUCACCUACAACAAAAUGGUAAUAAUAAUAGAUUGUAAUAAUUAGAAAUAAUAAUUGUAAAUGAUUAAUAAUAUUUUUAAUAUUAAUAAUAAUUAAUAACACUAAUAAUUACCGACAAAAGAUUUUAUUGGUAAAUUUACCGAUAGAAUAUUUUUCGUCAAUAAAUUUACCGACAAACAUAUUAUUUAUAAAUUUUUAUCUGUCGUUUUUUCAUCGGUAAUGUAUACUUGUUGACGGAUUUUUGGUCUUACCUAUGGAUUAGACCGUUGAUUAUAUGUUUUUUUUUUAGUAUGUGAAACUUUUAUCACUAGUCCAUUCAUUUCUUACUUUUAAACUAAAUAAUCUUAAAGUUGCUAACAAUCUUGUGAAGUUAUUGAAUACUGGAUAAUUGUUUCUCCAAAUCAAGCAUAAAAGAAUCAUACACAUGUAUUCUUCCAAAAUUUUGUUACCACCAUCAUGUAUCCUUUCCUUUAAAUUAUCGUUUAUCCCUUCUUUAAUAUUUUUUAUCGUCAACAUAAUUUGAGUGACUAAUAUUUUUUCGUGUCGUAUACGUAUUGUAUAACUCUUAACAAUAUAAAAGAUAAAUCGAUGAUAAUUAUAAUAUCCCAACUAUUAUAUGAAUAAUUGUUAUUUGAUUCUUUGAUUUCUUGAAAUUAUAUCAUGCUUGUUAUGAUGUGUUGUUAGGAUUUGUUGUAAUUUUUUUCUUUUGUUUGCAUUGUAUUCCUUUUAUAUCUUGUGAGUCCAUAAAGUGUUUUUCCAGGAAUGCAAAAGGAUGAGUGUGGCGGUAUUUGAUGAUCAUAUAUUUACUCAUACUUAAUAGCUUUAAUCAUAGAUGUCUUUGACUAAAAUCAUGUAUAACUCUACUAUUUUAAGUAAGAAUCAUCUAACUGGGUUUAUUUGGACCUUAACUAUUAUUUAUGAUAAUAUUGUAAUUUAGUCCCAGUAGACGGUCCAAUGCUUCUCAGAGUUCAUUGGAUGGUCUAAUAAGAGCGUUUGCUAAAGAGUUUUAAGGAAGUUUUUAUCUCUACAAGUGGGUUGAAUAUGCGAAAGUCCAAGUUGCUUAUUUGAAUCAAAGAGAAAAAAAAAAUCUUAAGGGAAGAAUUAGAGAAUAAAAUCUAAUAUAUCAUAAACAGAAUUGGAAGCAAAUCUUUUGCAAAAUACAAAGAAACAUAGUUCAUGACGAAAGUGAAAAUAAAAUUUAGGAAUUCUGAAAAGUUAAAAACUUAAAAAUCGAAGCAAUAUCUAAACUGAAAUAUAUUUUUGAGAUCCUUGAAACAAAGAAACCUACAAAAGGAUGUAAGCUUCAAGGAGAAAGGGGAAAGUUUCAGAGCUUAACACAAUGCAUUCGAAAAACAGAGCAUUAGAGUUUUCUUAGGUUUUAUUUGUUUUUCUUCGUUAUAAUUCUUUCAUUUACCUUCGUAUGGAAGGUUAAACUCAUUCAUGUUGAUUCUCUUGUGACUUUGCAAUGAAUUUUGAGAUUUGUGUUCAAUAAAGUUUUAUUCUUAAAUUCUAUGUAGCAAUACAUGUAAAAAGGUUUGGUCUUUUUGAAUUUUGAUUUUUUUUAAAGAAUUUUCUUUGAACAAUUGUUAAGAAUUCUGUUAUUUUAAUUAAUUGGAGUUUUUGGUUAGUUUAUUUUACAUGCGGGUUAGACCGCAGUUCGCUACCUCUCCUCCCAGAAGUUUGCUACUAACUUCCUGCUAGAACAAAUACAGUCUGACUAACCUAAAUAAAUCACUUAUGUUUAAUUGAAUACAUACAAACUAGGGGAUCUAGACACCAACAGAAAAGGAAAAACAAGAAGGGACUUUAGAGGUUACCCAGGACCAGACUUUUAGUUGAGCCAUGGAGUUAGUAUGAAGAGUGACAGUGGAUUUAGUUUUAGGUAAAGUCUUAUAUUUAAAAUUUGUUAAUAAAAAAUAAUAUAAAAAAAAGAUUUCAAUAGGAUAGUUAAAAAAUUAGUCAUCUUCAUUAAAAUAUUCGUAUACAUUUACAUACAUAUAUAGAAAAAAUAGAUGCAAAACAAUAAUUUUAAUUAUUUUUAAUCAAACAUUCUAACAAUCCCUAUACUUCAACUUAUAUUUUAAUCUUAAUUGAAUGAAUUGAAACAUGAAUAAAAUUUUAACUUUUCAGUAGUAGAAAUAAUUAUUUUUUUAAUUAAUGAAAUUUUAAUUUUUGAAAAAAAAUAUUUUUCUUAUGCGGGCUGGCUCACAGGCCUGCGGGUUAUUUCUUAUGUGGGACGAGUCAGUGAAAUGAGUCCGCACUUGUUGUAUGGGGCGUGCUAACACAGUCCGCAUUUUGUGGGCCAAACGCAGGACGAGCCAACCCUCAUUGUCACCCCUAGUUUAUUUAAUUAUAAUCAAUCUUUUGUUCACUUAGUCAAGAGAUAAACGAUAAACAUUUCACAAGUAGAUGCUUGGAACUUGUGAGAUACUAAAUACAUCAGUAAACGAUUGUUUUGAUAAUAAGAUUAUGUUGACUUGGUUUGUUGAUAAGAUUCUAUUAAAUUCUAUUGACACUUGUUUGGUUAAGUUUGACAUUAUGUAAAAAUUGAAAAAAGUGAACAUCUUAAGAAAAUCAAUAAUAAAUUCAAUGUUGAAUGAACUUAAGAGUUGGACUGGAUUUUUUUUACUAUUUUUCAAUUAUGUACUUUAUUUUUCUACACAAUAAUCUCAAUCUUUUUAUUUUCAUUAUUUUUUCUCACCAUUUUGAUUGCAAAUAAGUUUUGAAUGCUAUCUUAACUAGAUUCAGUAGUGGAUUUGUUGGAAGAUGACUUGGAGUCAUCUAACCUUAACUACACUAUCAUUUUUCUAUGAUAUUCGACGAUUUACGUGAAUCAUUUUAAUUUCACCACUAAAUGAUAGUUAUCACAUAUCAAUGCUUAUUUAUAGAUUAAAAUAAAAUCUUAUUUUAAAUUUUGUAUAAAAUAAUUUCAUACAAAUAAAACAACAUACUAAUGUACAUAUUAAAGAAUCACCACACUAAAGUAUCAUAAAAAUGAAAUAAUUCCCCUUUAAAUUUUUUUAAAUCAGCAUACCAAUGUUAUAAGAAAAAAUUCAAAAUAUAAUUAUUAAAUAUUGAAUAUUUAUCCUCAAAUGUGAAAAAGGAAAGUUCAAUGAAGACACCAAAGAAAAAUGAAGAUGAAAAACGAUUAACCUUCACAAUGGUGAAGAGAACAAAUGGUAAGUCUUCACAUUUUACGACAAUAUCAACAAUCAUAAUCAAUAGAGACAACAAAGACCACAACUAUCACAAGAAAAAUAACAAUAAUAAUAAUAAAUGAGACAAAAAAUAUUAUAUUUAUUUUAGUGUAUUGAAAAUAAUAUAAUUUUACCAUAACUUAUUUUUUAAAUUGAAUAUUAUAUUUCCUCAUCAACCUCAAUAUGUAAUAAGGAUAAAUCUAAACAAUGAUAGUAGUAUGUAAAUAAUGACAAAUUUUUUGUAGUUAGAAAAAAAAUCAACUAUAAACCGCAAUGAUUGUUUUAUUGAUAAAAUCUUUAAAUUUUUGUAUAAUAUUGUAUAUCUAAAAUAUAAAAAUAUAUUUAACUAUUUUUUAAAGUUAUAGAAUUAAGAUUGAAAUAUUGAUAAUAUUUAAUAAUUAGUUAAACUUUUUUCUUUACAUAAAGCUUCCACACUUCUUUCAUUUCACAUUCUCAAAAGCAAAUACAAAACCUGUUAAAUAGGCAACAAGAAAAAAAAAAGGAGAAAUAACUGCGAAAGUGUAUUUAAUUAUUAUUGAUUUCUAGUUUUGAACGAAAUCUUAUUAAUUUAAAAACUAAUAAGAAACUAAUUAAGGGUAUGUAAUUUGUAAAAGUUUAAUUAUAAUGAUGAAAAUGUUCAAAUGAAAUGAAUUUAGUUAUAUAUAAAACCAUUGAAAAUAGUAUUAUUUUUACUAUGAAUUCAAACGAGUUUAAUCAACAAUGUAAAUUUCUUUAUUUCUUAUCUAAUAUAAAAUAAUAUUUUUAUAUAACCAAUUUAAAUUGAUUGGCUUAAUAAUUUAUAUACAUAAUUGUGAUAAUCGAAUUUAUGAUAGAUUAAUAUUGAAGUUAAAAUAAUGAUUUGAUCUAAUAGAAAAAGAAGCAUCUAAUUUAUUCUAUUCUUGAACUUUAAAAUAGAUAUUAUAAUUGACACUUAGGACCUCAUCUUAGAAAAGCGAGCCAAAUAAUUUUUUCCAAAAAUAACAAUGAAAAGUAGUAUUAAAAAAUAGGAAAAACAAAGUUUAAGAAAAUAUAUAAUUUAUAUUUGAUUAUUAAAAAGACUUGGGUCAACGGUUAUUGUUUUAUAUUUUUUCAUUUAAUAGAAACUAAUUUAAAUUUUUUUUUUAGUUUUUAAAACGGUCUUUUUAAUUUAGUAACUAAUUAUUUGAUAUCUAAAAUUGAUUUUUAUUUAAUUUUGUAGUGCAUUGAAAAAUAAAUUUUUUAAAAAAAGUAAAUAUUUACCUCUUAAAAUAAUGAUAUAUUCUUUCUCUAACAAUAUUUUCUUCAUAGUAAAUUCAAAUCUUAUAUAAGACAUACUAAAAUAGCGUGGCCUUAAUUUUUAUUUAAGACUUUAUUUUAUAAGAAAAAAUAGGGAAAGCAAAUAGGGAAGACCAUACGGGCCGUUCUGUGGCCCACUAGUAAAAAAUACGGGGUGGUUGUAGUUUUUCAACUCGCUAACUCGCUUUAUCUCGUCCCGCAUAAUCCCAGUCUGGACAGGGUAGGCUGGCCCGCUAGCCCGCAAAAAGAAUUAUGUAUUAAUAGGUUUUCAUUUUCCAUUCAUAUUCAUUCAUUCCAAAGCUAUUUUUAAUGUUUUUGAAAUAAAAGAAUAUUAAUAUUUGAUUUUUAUCUUCAUUGAAUUAUUGAUGUUAAACUAUGUUUGAAAUGGAAGAAAAAAAUAUUGAUGUUUGAUAAUGGUAAAUACAAGUUCAAUUUAACAAUUUUUCAAAAACAAAAAAUAUAAAUAUUUUUAUUAAAUUUCUAAAAAAAAAAAAAAUGAACCGUUGACCCACAAACUUGCGGACGGACUCUUAUAUGGGACAGAAUAGAGAAUCCAUUCAUUACUCGACCGACCCACUUUGCCAUCCUAAAAAAAAGUGAGCCGAACAAUUUUUUCGAAAAUAACAAUGCAAAAGUAGUUUUAGAAUGGAAAAGAAAAGUUUGAGAAAAUAUAUAAUUUAUAUUUUAUUAUACAUUAAAAUUGGUUAGAAAGUUAAGAUAAAAGUUAAAAGGGUAACUGAUACUGGAUGCCAAACAAUCAGCCACUAGCUUAAAAUCAAUUAACUCUAGCAGAAAGUUUUUAAACAAGAUUAUUAAAUUAUAAAUACUUGAUUAAAUUAUCUUCAUAAUCAUAAAUAUAGAAUUAUAGAAAUAUAUAUAAGUUCAUACGGUACUUCAUAUAAAUUAUAUUUUUAUUUUAUUUUAUUGUUAAAAAUUUAUUUCCGAAUAUUUAUCAUUUUAAUUUUUAACUAGUCUUAAACUUUUAUAUUUUCUAUUUAAAAAUCAAUCAUUUUAAUUAUAUUUUUUAUAUUGUGUAUUCUAUCAUUCAUAUGACGUAAUAUUGUAAAAUAUUUUCAAACAAAAUUUUAAACAAGAAAAAUAUCAUAUUUUUAAAUAGACACACGUAUUGUGUUACUCGGUUAAAAACAUUUUAAUAUGAAAAAAUAGUGUCCAUCAGAGGUUAAUAUUUUAAAAUUUAUUAGUAAACUAAUGAAAUGAAUAUUGUGAAUAGUAUAAUCAUUAAAAUAAGUAGUGUGAUAUAAAAAUAUUAGAAUGAGAAUUACAUUACAUAAUAUUAUUAUUAUUGAUAUGUAUUAUUAUUAUUGAUAUGUUAUGUGGUAAAAAGGUAAAUCAAUACAUAAAAUAAUUGAAACUGAAAAUAGAAAAAGCAAGUGUAUAAAUUAGUUGAUAACAGAUUAAAAAAAAAACUAAAUGAUAUACUACAUAUGUUAAUUAAUUUAUUUUGGUUAAUUAUUAAGGACACACUAAAUUCAUUAAAGGGUUUAAACGAAAAAUAAAGGGUAAAAUUGAAAUUAAAAAAUAAGAAUGUUUCUUAAAAAAAGUAAUAGGGUAUUGGAUUAAUUUCCGCAAUAAUAUAUGACGCGUAAUCUCUGUUGGCAUGAAGGUCGUCGUCACCUAAUUUUUCCUUCAUUCAAACCUGCAAAGAAAUGUCUUCAAUCUUUUGCCCCUUUCACAUCAUGCUACCUACAAUUGUCUUAUUUUCUAAAAUACUUUCUAAAUUAAUUUAUAUUAUUCUUAAAUAGUUUUUAAAUUGGUAUCUAAUUAACAAUCAAGGUUUUAAAACUUUGGUUGCUAAUUAGAUACCAAUUUAGAAACUAUUUAACAAUCAUAUAAAUUAAUUUAGAAAGUAAUUUUUUUUUAAUUUUUAAAGUGGUCUAUAAUUUAGUUAUUAUUGUGACUAAUUAUUUUAGUAUCUAAAAAUUGGUUUAUAUUUCAUGAUUUUCUUUUUAGUGUAAGCACCCGAUAAAACAAUGGAAAGAGACUUCAAUUUCAAUUGGAGCUUGUAGCCACAUACUAAAGAAUAUCUAAAUAUGUAUAAGGGAAAGUGGGUUCAAGAGUUUUGGUUUUAAAUUUGCAUCAGAAGCUUCCCCUUAAGUACAUAAUGGCACCUUCCACUCAUUUUCCCUUGAAGUAUUUACUUUUAUGAGAGUAGAACAGUGUUCAGUUUCUUUCCACGUUAUUAGAUGCAAUGAAACAACAUAUAUACCCUACCAAUUUCUCAUCAUUAAUAUCUUAUAUGCACAAUUUACAUACAAAAACUAAUUAAUAUACUAAAUAUGUUAAUUAAUUUCUUCCUUUUGGUUAAUUAAUAAGGUCACACUAAAUUCAAUAAAAGGUUUAAACAAAAAAUAAAGGGUAUACUCAAUUCAAAUUCAAAAAUAACAAUGUUUCUAUAAAAAAGUAAUAGGGUAUUCGAUUAAUAUUCUUAAAUGUAAAUUCUUUUUAAAUAUGCAAUAAAAUGAUAUGGUAUUUAAAUGAAUAAUUAAGAAAAAUUACAAAAAAAAAGCACGAUCUUAAAAAUCAUACAAAUUUUAAUGAAUUAUUUAUUUUAUUGAACUUUUGUAAAAUCUGCAUGGUUUUUUUAUUUAUAUGUGUAAUUGUCAUUCUAUAAAACAGUUCCAUUUUUAUAUACUCAUUCAAACUUUUUCUCAAUUUCAACUAUGAUAAAGUAGAACUUUCUCUUCCAUUUUUUUUAUUUACAUAUAAGUAAUUGUAUUGCAUUAUUUUUCUGAAUUGUGAUUUUCUACAAACAAUUCUUAGAUUAUUAUUUUUAUUAUUAUAUAUGAUUGUUCGUUAAAUAAAAGUAAAGUUUUUUUAAAAAAAAUUUAGUCUGUAUACAUAUACUGUUAAAUCAACACCUUGUUUCUCUUAGAUUUUUUAAUUUUUAAACUUUUUAAAAAAUAUGUAACACCCAACACGGUACAAUAAAAAAUAAAUUUGUAAUUAGAUAAUAUAAAAAAUAUUAAAUUAAUAUUAUUAGAAAUGAUAAAAUAAUUAUAUAAAAAAUGUGAAUUCUCAUUAUAUCAUUAAUUAUCCGAAGCCAUGUAAUUUCAUUUAAUGAGCAAUAUGCAAUUACAUGUUUUAUAAAUAUUCCAACAACUUUUAAACUACUUUUAAAAUGAAUGGAAGGUUGUGGUUGAUGCAAACUCAGUGCAAAAAUAAAACCAGAUAUUUUUUGUAAAAUAUCUUAAUUUAAUCUAAAAACCAAUAUAAAACCUCUUUUACGUUUGUUAUUAUAAUAAGUUUUUAAUUAAAAAAAUGUAAGCAUUCUUAUUUCCCUUCAUCUUCUUCUCCUCUUACAUUCAUUUAUUUACAUAUCUAAAACCAUAUAAUACUAGUUCGUUCAUUAUCAUUUUCUCAUUUAUAAUUUUAUAUCUAAACAAUUCAAAAAUAUGAUAUUUGUUAAGAGACUAUUUUAAAUAUAAAAUUUUAUCCACUAAUUUAGUAAAACAAUUAUGUAUAACUUUCCAUAAAAAUUUUAAAAAUAUAAAAAUUAUUUAUAUGUAUAAUUGUCAUUCUAUAAAACAAUUCCAUUUAUAUACUCAUUCAAACUUUUUCUCAAUUUCAACUCUGAUAAAAGUAGAAAUUUAUCUUCCAAUUUAAAUCUUUUUUUUAUUUACAUAUAAGUAUUGCAUUAUUUUUCUGAAUUAUGAAUUUUUACAACAAUUUUUAGAUUACUAUUUUUAUUAUUAUAUAUGAUUGUUCGAUAAAUAAAAUAAAGCUUUUUUUUUUUAAAUUUAGGAUGUAUACAUAUAGUGUUAAAUCAACACCUUGUUUCUCUUAAGUUUUUUUAAUUUUAAACAUUUUUUUAAAAAUAUGCAACACUCAAAUAUGACUUUAGUAAGGAAUGAGACUUAAAGAGAGAGUUUGUGUAGUAAAUAAUUAUUUAUAUGAGGUUAAAAUUACACAAAACUUCAUCCACAAAACAAUCUAAAGUGAGGUUUAAAACCGAAUUUUGAACGGAGUUUUAUAUUUUUAUUUAAAAAUAUUAAAAAAUAGUUUUAAAUUUUCAAAAUGAAAAAUAUUAUCUUAAAAAAAAAUAUUUUAAAUAAAAUUAUGAAAAAAUAUAUGUUUGCAAAAAUAAAAAUUUAGAAAGAUAAUUAUAUUAAGAAAUAAUAUUUUAGAAAAAUAAAUAUUUAAUACCUCUUUAAAUAGUGAUAUAUACUUUCUCGAACAAUAUUUUCUUGAUAGUAGUGAAUACUUCCAAUCUCAUAUAAGACAUACUAAAAUGGCGUGGCCUUGAAUUUUAAGACUUUUUUUUUAUAAGAAAAAACGAUCGAAACAUUUUUUUUUUCAAAAAUAAAAAUGAAAAAAGUAGUUUUAAAAAUAGGAAAAAGGAAAGAUUAAGAAAAUAUAUAAUUUAUAUUUUAUUAUGUUAAAAGAGAAUAACUUAUAGAAAGAUAAGGAAAUUGGGAGAAAUUUGAGUGUUUAUUGAAGAAUUAAAUUAGGUAUUAUAUAAGGCAGCGGAGAAACCUAAAUUAUUACACACUAAUAAUUUAAAAAUGAUAUCCAAAUAUAUAUUAUGAAAAAUGGUUCCAAUAAAUAAUUUAAAAAGACUUGGGGUCAACAGUUAUUGUUUUCUAUUUUUCCACUGAUUUUGGAUAUUUUAAAUUUUUUAUUAUUAUCAUUUACAAUAAUUUAAAAAAUUAUUUGUUUCAGAUAUUUUAUUUAAGUAGGAUAUUUAAUAAUUUAAGAUUUGUAUUCGCUUAAAAUUUUGAAUAAUUUAGGAAUUUUAUUUAUUGUGAAUCUUUAUUUAAAUAUGAAAUUUAAUAAUUUAAUAUUUAUAUUUACUUAUAAAUUUUAAUAAUUUAGGUAUUUUAAUUUUUAAAAUUUUUUAUUUAAGUAUGAUAUUGAAUAAUUUAAUAUUUGUAAUUUUUUAAAAUUUUAAAUAAUUUAGGAUUUUUUAUUUAAGUAUGAUAUUAAAUAAUUUAAAAUUUGUAUUUGUUUAAAAUUUUGAAUAAUUUAGAAAUUCGAUUUAUUUUAUAUUUUAUUUAAUUAAAAUAUUAAAUUAUUUAGAUUUUGUAUCUAUUUAGGAUUUUGAAAUUAAAAAAAAAUAUAAUUUAUUUUAUAUUAUUAUUUAUAUAGGAAAUAAAAUAAUUUAGAAUUUAUUUUUAUUUAGAACUUGGGAAAACAUAGAAGUUUAAUUAAUUUAGAUUUUUAUAUAAGAAUGUCAUUAAAUAUAAUUUGAGAAUUUAUUUGAUUGUCAAUUUUUAUUGAAGAAUGAUAUUAUAUUUUUUGGGACUUAUAUUUAUUUAGGAUUUUAAAAACUUAUAAAUUUUAUUUAGUUUUAAUUUUUAUUUAAGUAGGAAAUAAAAUAGUUUAAGAUUUUGUAUUUAUUUAGGAUUUUAAAAAACUUAAAAAAAUUUAUUUAUUUGAUAUUUUUAUUUAAGAAUGACAUUUAAUUAAUUAGAAUAUGUAUUUAUUUUGAAUAAUUUAACAUUUUAAAAAGAUAGAAAUUUUAUUUAUUUUUGAUAUUUUUAUUUAAGUAUGUCAUAAAAUAAGUUAGGCACCGGAGAAAGCAAUGGCUUGUAGCUUGCAACCACACACUAAAUGAUAUCCAAAUAAUUUAAAAAGACUUGGGCUCAAGAAUUGUUGUUUUAUAUUUUUCCAUAUAUAUGUGUCAAAUUGAUAUAUAUAUAUAUAUAUAUAUAUAUAUAUAUAUAAUAUAUUUAUUUAUUUAUUUAUUUAUUUAUUGCUGCUUGGAUGAAAUAGACUAAAUAUAUAUCUUACCAAUUUCUCAUCACUCGUAAUAACAACGUAUUAAAAAUUAGAAUAUGAUAAUGAAAUGACUUUAAUUUAGUGGUUAGAGGUAUCUGGUUAGUGGUCCUAAGUUUAAGUCUCACCUACAACAAGAUGGUAAUAAUAAUAUAUUCUAAUAAUUAGAAAUAAUAAUCGUGAAUGAUAAAUAAUAUUUUUAAAUUAAUAAUAAUUAAUAACACUAAUAAUUAUCGACAGAAUAUUUUAUUGGUAUAUUUAUCGAUAGAAUAUUUUUCGUCAAUAAAUUUAUCGACAAACAUAUUAUUAGUAAAUUUUUGUCUGUUUUUUUUCAUCGGUAAUACAUGCUUACCAUCGGAUUUUUAUCUUAUCUAUGGAUAAGACUGUUGAUAAUAUGUUUUUUUUUAGUAUGUGAAACUUUUAUCAUUAGUCCAUUCAUUUCUUACUUUUAAACUGAAUAAUCUUAAAGUUGCUAACAAUCUUGUGAAGUUAUUGAAUAUUGGAUAAUUGUUUCUCCAAAUCAAGCAUCAAAGAAUCAUACACAUGUAUUUUUCCAAAAUUUUGUUACAACAAUCAUGUAUCAUUUCCUUUAAAUUAUCGUUUAUCCCUUCUUUAAUAUUUUUUAUCGUCAACAUAAUUUGAGUGACUAAUAUUUUUUCAUGUCGUAAAUAGCUCUUAACAAUAUCAAAGAUAAAUCGAUGAUAAUUAUAAUAUCACAACUAUUAUAUGAUAUGAAUAAUUGUUAUUUGAUUCUUUGAUUUCUUGAAAUUAUAUCAUGCUUGUUAUGAUGUGUUGUAAUUUUUUCUUUUGUUUGCAUUGUAUUCCUUUUAUAUCUUUUGAGUCCAUAAAGUGUUUUUCCAUGACUGCAAAAGGAUGAGUAUGACGGUAUUUGAUAAGCAUAUAUUUACUCACACUUAAUAGUUUUAAUCAUAGAUGUCUUUGACUAAAAUCAUGUAUAACUCUACUAUUUUAAGUAAGAUUCAUCUAACUUGGUACAUUGGAUGGUCUAAUAAGAGCGUUUGCUAAAGAGUUUUAAGGAAGUUUUUAUCUCUACAAGUGGGUCGAAUAUGCGAAAGUCCAAGUUACUUCUUUGAGUCAAAAUGAGAAAAAAAAAUCUCAGGGGAAGAAUUAGAGAAUAAAAUCUAAUAUAUCAUAAAUAGAAUUGGAAGUAAAUCUUCUGCAAAAUACAAUAAAAAACAUAGUUCACGAUGAAAGUGAAAAUAAAAUUUAGGAAUUCUGCAAAAGUUGAAAACUUAAAAUUCGAUGCAAUAUCUAAACUGAUAUAUAUUUUUGAGAUCCUUGGAACAAAGAAACCUACAAAAGGAUGUAAGCUUCAAGGAGAAAUGGGAAAGCUUCAAAACUCAACACAAUGCAUUCAAAAAACAGAGCAUUAGAGUUUUCUUAGGUUUUAUUUGUUUUUCUUCAUUAUAAUUCUUUCGUUUACCUUCAUAUGGAAGGUUAAACUCAUUCAUGUUUAUUCUCUUGUGAUUUUGCAGUGAAUUUUGAGAUUUGUGUUCAAUAAGGUUUUAUUCUUAAAUUCUAUGUAGCAAUUCAUGUAAAAAGGUUUGGUCUUUUUUAAUUUCGAUUUUUGUUAAAGAAUUGUCUUUGAACAAUUGUUAAGAAUUUUGUUAUUUUCUUUAAUUGGAGUUUUUGGUUAGUUUAUUUUAGGGAUAACAAUGCAGAACAAGUCAUGUGGGUUAGACCGCAGUCCGCUACCAAAAACUGCAGGACGAGCUUACUAAUAUAGCCCGCUGACCCGCCCGCAUAACCUGCAACGGGGCAAGGCGGGGCGGGUUGGCCCACUGGCUCGCAUAAAUAAAAAAUUUAUUAUUAUUUGUUUAGUAUAAAAAAAAUCAUACCUCAUUCACCCAUUAUUGCAAUGACAUUUAUUUUAUUUUAUUUUAAAAAAAUUGAAUUUAAUGUACUAAAAAAAGAAUGUUUUAUUUUAAUCAUUUAAAAGAGUUAGUUUUUUUUUAUCAACAAUAAAAAAAAACACUUUAGGGUUGAUCCAACCCAUGUAAAAAAUUGCACAGAAACAAACAACCUCUCCUCCCAGAAGUUUGCUACUAACUUCCUGCUAGAACAAAUACAGUCUGACUAACUUAAAUAAAUCACUUAAGUUUAAUUGAAUACAUACAAACUAGGGGAUCUAGACACCAACAGAAAAGGAAAAACAAGAAGGGACUUUAGAGGUUACCCAGGACCAGACUUUUAGUUGAGCCAUGAAGUUAGUAUGAAGAGUGACAGUGGAUUUAGUUUUAGGUAAAGUCUUAUAUUUAAAAUUUGUUAAUAAAAAAUAAUAUAAAGAAGAGAUUUCAAUAGGAUAGUUAAAAAAUUAGUCAUCUUCAUUAAAAUAUUCGUAUAUAUUUACAUACAUAUAUAGAAAAAAUAGAUGCAAAACAACAAUUUUAAUUAUUUUUAAUCAAACCUUCUAACAAUCCCCAUACUUCAACUUAUAUUUUAAUCUUAAUUGAAUGAAUUGAAACAUGAAUAAAAUUUUAACUUUUCAGUAGUAGAAAUAUUUUUUUUUAUAAUUAAUGAAAUUUUAAUUUUUGAAAAAAAAAUAAUUUUCUUAUGCGGGCUGGCUCGCAGGCCCGCGGGUUAUUUCUUAUGUGGGACGGGUCAGUGAAAUGAGUCCGCACUUGUUGUAUGGGGCGUGCUAACACAGUCCGCAUUUUGUGGGCCAAACGCAAGACGGGCCUAUGCGGGGCGAGCCAACCCUCAUUGUCACCCCUAGUUUAUUUAAUUAUAAUCAAUUUUUUGUUCACUUAGUCAAGAGAUAAACGAUAAACAUUUCACAAGUAGAUGCUUGGAACUUGUGAGAUACUAAAUACAUCAGUAAACGAUUGUUUUGAUAAUAAGAUUAUGUUGACUUGGUUUGUUGAUAAGAUUCUAUUAAAUUCUAUUGACACUUGUUUGGUUAAGUUUGACAUUAUGUAAAAAUUGAAAAAAGUGAACAUCUUAAGAAAAUCAAUAAUAAAUUCAAUGUUGAAUGAACUUAAGAGUUGGACUGGAUUUUUUUUACUAUUUUUCAAUUAUGUACUUUAUUUUUCUACACAAUAAUCUCAAUCUUUUUAUUUUCAUUAUUUUUUCUCACCAUUUUGAUUGCAAAUAAGUUUUGAAUACUAUCUUAACUAGAUUCAGUAGUGGAUUUGUUGGAAGAUGACUUGGAGUCAUCUAACCUUAACUACACUAUCAUUUUUCUAUGAUAUUCGACGAUUUACGCUUGAAUCAUUUUAAUUUCACCACUAAAUGAUAGUUAUCACAAAUCAAUGCUUAUUUAGAGAUUAAAAUAAAAUCUUAUUUUAAAUUUUGUAUAAAAUAAUUUCAUACAAAUAAAACAACAUACUAAUGUACAUAUUAAAUAAUCACCACACUAAAGUAUCAUAAAAAUGAAAUAAUUCUCCUUUAAAUUUUUUUAAAUCAGCAUACCAAUGUUAUAAGAAAAAAUUCAAAAAUAUAAUUAUUAAAUAUUGAAUAUUUAUCCUCAAAUGUGAAAAAGAAAAGUUCAACGAAGACACCAAAGAAAAAUGAAGAUGAAAAACGAUUAACCUUCACAAUAGUGAAGAGAAUAAAUGAUAAGUCUUCACAUUUUACGACAAUAUCAACAAUCAUAAUCAAUGGAGACAACAAAAACCAUAACUAUCACAAUAAAAAUAACAACAACUGAGACAAAAAAUAUUAUAUUUAUUUUAGUGUAUUGAAAAUAAUAGAAUUUUACCAUAACUUAUUUUUUAAAUUGAAUAUUAUAUUUCCUCAUCAACCUCAAUAUGUAAUAAGGAUAAAUCUAAACAAUGAUAGUAGUAUGUAAAUAAUGACAAAAUCUUUGUAGUUGAAAAAAAAUCAACUAUAAACCGCAAUGAUUGUUUUAUUGAUAAAAUCUUUAAAUUUUUGUAUAAUAUUGUAUAUCUAAAAUAUAAGAAUAUAUUUAACUAAUCACCAACAUAAAAAGUGUUGGCGAAGACUAUACGUAAAAUGCUACAAAUGUAAUUAACGAAUCAACGGUUACAUUUAUAAAAGAAAUACAAAUGUGAUAAGUUGUGGAGGAUAAAUUAAUAUAUAUAUAUAUAUAUAUUUUGUAACAUUAUGUUUUCUAAUCAACAAAUUUUAAAAAAAAAGAUUGAUUUAUAAUAGUGAUUGUACAAAUCAUAUGAUUAAUUUUUUUCAAAAAGCUCAACAAAUUUAAUAUUUUAAAGUAAGAAUUAAAAAUGAAGACCCAUUUAUUUUGGAAGAUAUAGAAACAAUUGCAAUUGAAAUUUAUUUAGGUAUCAAAUUACCUUUUAAUGUCUUGAUAUUAAUCUUUUGAUUUGUUAAUAGUUGUUCAACUUUAAAGAAAGGUUAAUAAAAAUAGAUUUGAUGAAAGAAAAGUUAACUAUAAAUGAAAAGAAUGAUUUAAAAUUAAAAAAAGAUGGAUAUUUCUUGAAGAAAUUUGAUGUCCAAGAAGAAAAACUAGAAAAAAAAAACACAUUUUAACAUCAUCAAAGAUUUCAAUGUUACUACCAUGAAAUGAGAUUAAUAAAAAAGAAAUAUAAUGAAAGAAUUAAAUAGAAAAAGAAAGAAAAAUGAAGCACUAAAAAAAGACAAUUAAAUCUUGAAUUUAAAAUUCAAAUAAAGAGCUAUUAAGAUAAAGAAGAAUGUUAAUAUUUGCUUCAUUUUAUUUUAAUUAAUUUGUAAAUAAUCUUUUAAUUUUUUAAACGUUCUAUACAAAAUAUAAAAAAGGAAUUUAAUUAUUAUUAAUAUUCUAUUCGACAUAUAGAAUAUUUUACUCCAAGUAUAAAAUAUCAAAAUAAAAUAAAUAACAAAUUCUUUCAUAAUAAUAUAUAUAAUAAAAAUAAAAUAAAUAAGAACCUCAAAUAUUAUAUAUUUCUUAUAUCAUCAACAAAGCUAUUUAUUACAAUAAAGUAUCACGAUCUUCCUCUAGGAUGAGUUCAACCCCAUUGUUUGUUUCUAAAUUCCGUAGCGUGUCAUACAUUUGUUUCGAGCAUUCCCUUACAUUUACUCUUCUCAAGCCACUCAAAGACCAAAGUUCAUUUGGGAGAUCAUCUAAGCUUUCACAAUUGUAGAUGAUCAAACUUUGAAGCCUUGACAUUCCACCAUUGCCUAAUUUCCACUUUUCAAGACUCAAAUAUGCCAUUUCAAAAACUUCCAAUUUUGGGAAGCUGCCUUCCACACAAUUCAGGUCAAAGGAAUCCCCCUUAUAUAGAGGUCCCCAAAGUUCCAAAAUUUUGAGUUUGGUGAGAUUUCCCAAACCAUUCAUCCCCUCAUCAGUAAUGCGGUUAAUCUCUGACAACUCUAACUCCAUAACGUUUGGAGGAAAUGUGAAUGCACAAGUCAGAAGGUCAAAAACAUUUUCAAUAAUUAAGAAAGUUAUACAAUUGAACUGCCCUAGGCUUUGCAACAGUUCUUUCGGCUUGCAACCUUUGUCAUAAAUAUCCCAGAGGACAAUCUCUAACUUACUCAAAUGACUUGAUUGUUGUAGGCUUUGCAACAAUUUGGUUAUUUCAUCAUCUUUGUAUUCAGAAGUCACACACAACCUUAUCAUCUUAAGAUUGGGGAAUGUUCCUUUCUUUAUCAGAGAUGUUGCUUGUCUGUUGACUACGAGGUCAGAGAUGGUUUGAAGAUUCCACAUCUUCUCAUCUGAUCCUGAACAAUUGCCUCGUAGCUUGAUAGGCCCUCGUGCAUUCAAAUGCCUUAAAUGUUUAAGUUUCCACAUUUCGACUGGGAAAGAAAUUUCAGUCACAUACCUCCAAUUACUUAGGUCUAUGAUUUGUAGAUUCCAAAGGUGAAGUAUUGAAGAUGGAACAAAUGUAAAAUCAGAUGUUGCUUCAAUUCUCAAGUACCUUAAGUGGAUAAAGUUCCCUAAAUUAGAAAGGGUGCUAAGCCAGGUUGGUCCAAGCUCCAACACUCGAACCAAUUUGAAGUCUUUUGAAAGCCAUUUCCACUGCUUCCCAGUACCAAAGUCAUCUUGGCCAAAUAAGAACAGGGAUCGGAUACAUGAAUGAUCAUUGUUGCUCGAAGAAAUGUAAUGACCCACCUUACAGUGAAUGGAUAGUCUACGAGGUUUUGUCGGGAUUAGAAUGUUAUUGUCUGUGCAAAUUUCAAAAACUUUGUCCUCUUUACUCUCUGAUAUGCAGAGGUCUCGAAGAAGAUCAUGAACGUGAACAUCUCUAUUAGUCUUCCCUUUUGCUACUUGGACCAAACUACGAUCGAUGAGCUCAUACAAGUAGUCUUCAGCAACUUCAUCUGGAUCUCUAUUCCCUGUAUCUUGUAUAAAACCCUCGGCAACCCAUUUUUGCAAUAAUGGCGUAACAGGGAUUUGAAAGUCUUCAGGAAAUAUCCCAAGAUAGAGAAAGCAUGGUUUUAAUCUCCUUGGCAAGUUGUCAUAGCUGAGUUUGAGAACUAUAUCCUUCACUUGGGUAUGAUCUCGAGUGAGAUACCAAUUAACAUGACCCACCACUUUUGACCAUUCUCUGUGUGAUUUUUCCUUGUAGGCUAGCAGUCCUGCUAAGACAAUGAUGGAGAGCGGCAAACCACGACAACUUUGAACCAUUUGCUUUCCAAGAGCCUCCAAAUCAGAAGGGUAGUCUUCACCCCUAAACACUUUCCUGCAAAACAACUCCCAACUUUCUUCUUCACUCAGGAACUGCAGAUAGUAAGGAAGAUCAUGGGAAGUAUGCAGUGCCACCUCUUUCAAACGACUAGUGAUCAAUACUCUGCUGCCUCUGUUGUUGUCCGGAAAAACAUCUUGCACCUCGUCCCAAUCUUGCCUUUUCCACAGGUCAUCUACCACCACAAGAUAUGUUCUACUCUCCAAGCUGUUUCGCACCAGUUUCUUCAGCUCCUCCUCACUCAAGCUACUAUUGUCUUGAGUGCUUUUCUUUCCUUUCUUCUUGCCUCUGCAUUGUUGUUCAAAAUUUGGCAUC